Molecule: ribosomal RNA, 582 nt
Filed under: Enterobacter cloacae
Lineage: Bacteria; Pseudomonadati; Pseudomonadota; Gammaproteobacteria; Enterobacterales; Enterobacteriaceae
Description: partial 23S ribosomal RNA
Rfam family: Bacterial large subunit ribosomal RNA
Source: RNAcentral
UAUAAUGGGUCAGCGACUUAUAUUCUGUAGCAAGGUUAACCGUAUAGGGGAGCCGAAGGGAAACCGAGUCUUAACUGGGCGUUAAGUUGCAGGGUAUAGACCCGAAACCCGGUGAUCUAGCCAUGGGCAGGUUGAAGGUUGGGUAACACUAACUGGAGGACCGAACCGACUAAUGUUGAAAAAUUAGCGGAUGACCUGUGGCUGGGGGUGAAAGGCCAAUCAAACCGGGAGAUAGCUGGUUCUCCCCGAAAGCUAUUUAGGUAGCGCCUCGUGAACUCAUCUUCGGGGGUAGAGCACUGUUUCGGCUAGGGGGCCAUCCCGGCUUACCAACCCGAUGCAAACUACGAAUACCGAAGAAUGUUAUCACGGGAGACACACGGCGGGUGCUAACGUCCGUCGUGAAGAGGGAAACAACCCAGACCGCCAGCUAAGGUCCCAAAGUCAUGGUUAAGUGGGAAACGAUGUGGGAAGGCCCAGACAGCCAGGAUGUUGGCUUAGAAGCAGCCAUCAUUUAAAGAAAGCGUAAUAGCUCACUGGUCGAGUCGGCCUGCGCGGAAGAUGUAACGGGGCUAAACCAUGCAC